RNAcentral lists this ribosomal RNA (661 nucleotides) under uncultured bacterium. RNAcentral's name for it is "bacterial SSU rRNA". It matches the Rfam family "Bacterial small subunit ribosomal RNA", at positions 94 to 788 of the family's 1533-position model. The record is from RNAcentral.
AGUGGCGGACGGGUGAGUAACGCGUGAGAAUCUGCCUUCAGGUCGGGGACAACAGAGGGAAACUUCUGCUAAUCCCGGAUGAGCCUUAGGGUAAAAAAUUUAUUGCCUGGAGAUGAGCUCGCGUCUGAUUAGCUAGUUGGUAAGGUAAAAGCUUACCAAGGCAACGAUCAGUAGCUGGUCUGAGAGGAUGAGCAGCCACACUGGGACUGAGACACGGCCCAGACUCCUACGGGAGGCAGCAGUGGGGAAUUUUCCGCAAUGGGCGAAAGCCUGACGGAGCAAGACCGCGUGGGGGAGGAAGGCUCUAGGGUUGUAAACCCCUUUUCUUUGGGAAGAACAAAAUGACGGUACCAAAGGAAUCAGCCUCGGCUAACUCCGUGCCAGCAGCCGCGGUAAUACGGAGGAGGCAAGCGUUAUCCGUAAUGAUUGGGCGUAAAGCGUCCGCAGGUGGCAAUGUAAGUCUGCUGUCAAAACCCAGGGCUCAACUCUGGUCAGGCAGUGGAAACUACAUAGCUAGAGUUCGGUAGGGGCAAAGGGAAUUCCCGGUGUAGCGGUGAAAUGCGUAGAGAUCGGGAAGAACAUCGGUGGCGAAAGCGCUUUGCUAGACCGAAACUGACACUCAGGGACGAAAGCUAGGGGAGCGAAUGGGAUUAGAUACCCC